GUUAAUAUAGUUUAAAAAGAAUAUCAGACUGUGAAUCUGAAGAUAGGUUAUGACAAUCCUUAUUAACC
RNAcentral lists this transfer RNA (68 nucleotides) under Chionomys gud (Gudaur snow vole). Its description in RNAcentral is "tRNA-His". It matches the Rfam family "tRNA". Rfam says of the family: Transfer RNA (tRNA) molecules are approximately 80 nucleotides in length. Their secondary structure includes four short double-helical elements and three loops (D, anti-codon, and T loops). Lineage: Eukaryota; Metazoa; Chordata; Mammalia; Rodentia; Cricetidae. The record is from RNAcentral.